GUCGAACGGUGAAGCAGGAGCUUGCUCUUGUGGAUCAGUGGCGAACGGGUGAGUAACACGUGAGUAACCUGCCCUUGACUCUGGGAUAAGCGUUGGAAACGACGUCUAAUACUGGAUACGAACCGCAACCGCAUGGUUAGUGGUUGGAAAGAUUUUUUGGUCAAGGAUGGACUCGCGGCCUAUCAGCUUGUUGGUGAGGUAAUGGCUCACCAAGGCGACGACGGGUAGCCGGCCUGAGAGGGUGACCGGCCACACUGGGACUGAGACACGGCCCAGACUCCUACGGGAGGCAGCAGUGGGGAAUAUUGCACAAUGGGCGAAAGCCUGAUGCAGCAACGCCGCGUGAGGGAUGACGGCCUUCGGGUUGUAAACCUCUUUUAGUAGGGAAGAAGCGAAAGUGACGGUACCUGCAGAAAAAGCACCGGCUAACUACGUGCCAGCAGCCGCGGUAAUACGUAGGGUGCAAGCGUUGUCCGGAAUUAUUGGGCGUAAAGAGCUCGUAGGCGGUUUGUCGCGUCUGCUGUGAAAACUGGAGGCUCAACCUCCAGCCUGCAGUGGGUACGGGCAGACUAGAGUGCGGUAGGGGAGAUUGGAAUUCCUGGUGUAGCGGUGGAAUGCGCAGAUAUCAGGAGGAACACCGAUGGCGAAGGCAGAUCUCUGGGCCGUAACUGACGCUGAGGAGCGAAAGCGUGGGGAGCGAACAGGAUUAGAUACCCUGGUAGUCCACGCCGUAAACGUUGGGAACUAGAUGUGGGGGCCAUUCCACGGUCUCCGUGUCGCAGCUAACG
This 788-nucleotide ribosomal RNA is filed under the name Microbacteriaceae bacterium. Its description in RNAcentral is "bacterial SSU rRNA". It matches the Rfam family "Bacterial small subunit ribosomal RNA", at positions 61 to 857 of the family's 1533-position model. Lineage: Bacteria; Bacillati; Actinomycetota; Actinomycetes; Micrococcales; Microbacteriaceae. The record is from RNAcentral.